AUCGUGUUUAUUAGGGAAAAUGAUCUGGGUCGUUCGAUCAAAGGCGUGCGGGUCAUUCAUUUGAAGGCAUGUGGGUCAUUCGAUCUAUCUUAUUUGGGAAGUCAGUCUAGGCCAUUUGUGCGUGCGGGAGUGAGCAUGAGCCGUUGGAUCACCAGACACGCGGAUUGCUCGCGUGGCUCCUGUGGGGAGCCCUUGCCAGUUUGUCUAUGUUCUAACUUGUUGUGCUGCUAACGUGACCGUCCUACAUGGUUGCAUGUAUUUAUUUUUUUUAC
RNAcentral lists this long non-coding RNA (272 nucleotides) under Carica papaya (papaya). RNAcentral's name for it is "long non-coding RNA (CPAP_LNC010842)". Lineage: Eukaryota; Viridiplantae; Streptophyta; Magnoliopsida; Brassicales; Caricaceae. The record is from RNAcentral.